UUAAGAGAUACACCAGUACCAACUGAGACUUGAAAUUUUUUCAAGUCUCCUCCAAGCCCUCGGGAUUCAUCCAAAAUCUUGUAAAUGCAAAAAAAUUAUGCUACCCUAUCAAAUUCGAUGUUUUGAACUUAAUUAAGUAGUUGAAAUUUCUAUUUGAGGUCGUUUAAAUGAAAACUAGGACCCACACCUACUUACCAUUUUCCUUUACGUUUGGCCCAUAGUCCAAAGUUAGUUUGGAAGUCUCAAAACCCG
RNAcentral lists this long non-coding RNA (252 nucleotides) under Capsicum annuum. RNAcentral's name for it is "long non-coding RNA (CANN_LNC008318)". The record is from RNAcentral. Lineage: Eukaryota; Viridiplantae; Streptophyta; Magnoliopsida; Solanales; Solanaceae.